AUGGGGGCCAUGUGGUAGUGCAGCGAUAAAACACAAUGCCCUGCUAAAGCUCACCCACAAUAGAGUUCCAGGGUUGCUCUGGAGACCUCCCUAACUACGCUGGACACACGCAUGCCCCAGAUCUUGGGCCAGCUGACACUGGAGGAGAGCUUGCGUUGAUGUCAACAAAGCAAGAUUUGUGCUUCGGGCAAUUGGAGUAGAAUCAGUUUCUGGAGAGCCAAGUUCUUUGACUUCCCCUAGAAGGAAAGGAGGGAAUCUCAGCGCGAACAACUCCAGGAUGGAAACAACACUUGAAGGGCAUUGCCCACACCCAGACAAGAUGAUGGGGCCCUCCCCGAGGCCAAGUGGUCUGGAGCUGCUGGUCCCUGCUCUGCUCUCCAGCUUCCUGGCCAUUCCCCAGACCAACUCAAAGUUCCCCAAAUUAUUUCACUUUUUCUUUUGUAAGCCAAUUUACUUCUGUUGUUUGUAACCAAAGAUAUUUAACCGAAGACAUACAGCAACACAGCAUAUAGAACUUACUUUAGUCCUUGCUAGUACCUGUCAUUCCUUUUUAUUGAUGU
Long non-coding RNA from Tupaia belangeri chinensis (Chinese tree shrew), 560 nucleotides. RefSeq lists it as uncharacterized. The record is from RefSeq and is a predicted model, not a curated record. NCBI's taxonomy places the organism in Eukaryota, Metazoa, Chordata, Mammalia, Scandentia, Tupaiidae. The transcript is spliced from 3 exons.